This 535-nucleotide ribosomal RNA is filed under the name Alteromonas sp. RNAcentral describes it as "bacterial SSU rRNA". It matches the Rfam family "Bacterial small subunit ribosomal RNA", at positions 380 to 907 of the family's 1533-position model. The record is from RNAcentral. Lineage: Bacteria; Pseudomonadati; Pseudomonadota; Gammaproteobacteria; Alteromonadales; Alteromonadaceae.
GACCUGAUGCAGCCAUGCCGCGUGUGUGAAGAAGGCCUUCGGGUUGUAAAGCACUUUCAGUUGUGAGGAAAAGUUAGUAGUUAAUACCUGCUAGCCGUGACGUUAACAACAGAAGAAGCACCGGCUAACUCCGUGCCAGCAGCCGCGGUAAUACGGAGGGUGCGAGCGUUAAUCGGAAUUACUGGGCGUAAAGCGCACGCAGGCGGUUUGUUAAGCUAGAUGUGAAAGCCCCGGGCUCAACCUGGGAUGGUCAUUUAGAACUGGCAGACUAGAGUCUUGGAGAGGGGAGUGGAAUUCCAGGUGUAGCGGUGAAAUGCGUAGAUAUCUGGAGGAACAUCAGUGGCGAAGGCGACUCCCUGGCCAAAGACUGACGCUCAUGUGCGAAAGUGUGGGUAGCGAACAGGAUUAGAUACCCUGGUAGUCCACACCGUAAACGCUGUCUACUAGCUGUUUGUGACUUUAAGUCGUGAGUAGCGAAGCUAACGCGCUAAGUAGACCGCCUGGGGAGUACGGCCGCAAGGUUAAAACUCAAAUG